Molecule: ribosomal RNA, 467 nt
Filed under: uncultured bacterium
Lineage: Bacteria
Description: partial 16S ribosomal RNA
Rfam family: Bacterial small subunit ribosomal RNA
Source: RNAcentral
GACGAACGCUGGCGGCGUGCUUAACACAUGCCAGUCGAACGGAAAGGCUCCAGCUUGCUGGAGUACUCGAGUGGCGAACGGGUGAGUAACACGUGGGUAAUCUGCCCUGCACUCUGGGAUAAGCCUGGGAAACUGGGUCUAAUACUGGAUAUGACCUUUCUCCUUAUGGGGUUUGGUGGAAAGUUUUUCGGUGUAGGAUGAGCCCGCGGCCUAUCAGCUUGUUGGUGGGGUGAUGGCCUACCAAGGCGACGACGGGUAGCCGGCCUGAGAGGGUGAUCGGCCACAUUGGGACUGAGAUACGGCCCAGACUCCUACGGGAGGCAGCAGUGGGGAAUAUUGCACAAUGGGCGGAAGCCUGAUGCAGCGACGCCGCGUGAGGGAUGACGGCCUUCGGGUUGUAAACCUCCUUCAGCAGGGACGAAGCGUAAGUGACGGUACCUGCAGAAGAAGCACCGGCUAACUAUGUG